UGGACCAAUGAUGAGACAGUGUUUAUGAACAAAGCAUAAUGAUUAAUCCAGUUUUACACAAAACACUGAGGUCCAUU
This is a small nucleolar RNA of Callithrix jacchus (white-tufted-ear marmoset), 77 nucleotides long. The record is from Ensembl. Lineage: Eukaryota; Metazoa; Chordata; Mammalia; Primates; Cebidae.